CCCUUAGACGUUCUGGGCCGCACGCGCGCUACACUGACCAGUGCAACAAGCAUCCGUCCUUGGCCGACAGGCUCGGGCAAUCUUUGAACGCUGGUCGUGAUGGGGAUAGACUUUAGCAAUUUUUGGUCUUCAACGAGGAAUUCCUAGUAAACGCAAGUCAUCAACUUGCAUUGAUUACGUCCCUGCCCUUUGUACACACCGCCCGUCGCACCUACCGAUUGAAUGGUCCGGUGAAGCCUCCGGAUUGGCGCGCACCUCGGUGCCGCCGAGAAGUUGGCUAAACCUUACCAUUUAGAGGAAGGUGAANUCGUAACA
This 315-nucleotide ribosomal RNA is filed under the name uncultured eukaryote. RNAcentral's name for it is "partial 18S ribosomal RNA". It matches the Rfam family "Eukaryotic small subunit ribosomal RNA", at positions 1470 to 1796 of the family's 1831-position model. The record is from RNAcentral.